This 665-nucleotide ribosomal RNA is filed under the name uncultured bacterium. Its description in RNAcentral is "bacterial SSU rRNA". It matches the Rfam family "Bacterial small subunit ribosomal RNA", at positions 99 to 778 of the family's 1533-position model. The record is from RNAcentral.
CGGACGGGUGAGUAACGCGUGAGUAACCUGCCCUGCAGUGGGGAAUAACAGCUGGAAACAGCUGCUAAUACCGCAUAAUGCAGUUGGGCCGCAUGGCUCUGACUGCCAAAGAUUUAUCGCUCUGGGAUGGACUCGCGUCUGAUUAGCUAGUUGGCGGGGUAACGGCCCACCAAGGCGACGAUCAGUAGCCGGACUGAGAGGUUGGCCGGCCACAUUGGGACUGAGACACGGCCCAGACUCCUACGGGAGGCAGCAGUGGGGAAUAUUGGGCAAUGGGCGCAAGCCUGACCCAGCAACGCCGCGUGAAGGAAGAAGGCUUUCGGGUUGUAAACUUCUUUUCUCAGGGACGAAGCAAGUGACGGUACCUGAGGAAUAAGCCACGGCUAACUACGUGCCAGCAGCCGCGGUAAUACGUAGGUGGCAAGCGUUAUCCGGAUUUACUGGGUGUAAAGGGCGUGUAGGCGGGACUGCAAGUCAGAUGUGAAAACCACGGGCUCAACCUGUGGCCUGCAUUUGAAACUGUAGUUCUUGAGUACUGGAGAGGCAGACGGAAUUCCUAGUGUAGCGGUGAAAUGCGUAGAUAUUAGGAGGAACACCAGUGGCGAAGGCGGUCUGCUGGACAGCAACUGACGCUGAGGCGCGAAAGCGUGGGGAGCAAACAGGAU